GACGUAGGUGGCGAACGUUAUCCGGAAUUAUUGGGCGUAAAGGGUGCGUAGGUGGCCUGACAAGUUAUCAGUGGCAAAUCGGGGCUCAACCUCGUGGAAACUGGUAAUACUGUUCGGCUUGAGUACAGGAGAGGUUAAUGGAACUCCAUGUGUAGCGGUAAAAUGCGACGAUAUAUGGAUGAACACCAAUAAAGGCGAAGGCAGUUAACUAUUCUGUUGCUGACACUGAGGCACGAAAGCGUGGGGAGCAAAACGG
Molecule: ribosomal RNA, 256 nt
Filed under: uncultured bacterium
Lineage: Bacteria
Description: partial 16S ribosomal RNA
Rfam family: Bacterial small subunit ribosomal RNA
Source: RNAcentral